RNAcentral lists this long non-coding RNA (213 nucleotides) under Hordeum vulgare. RNAcentral's name for it is "long non-coding RNA (HVUL_LNC008984)". The record is from RNAcentral. Lineage: Eukaryota; Viridiplantae; Streptophyta; Magnoliopsida; Poales; Poaceae.
UGUUCUGUGUGGCCUUAGGAGGAUGACUUCCUCAACUUCUACUACAACAAAUUUGGACGGAUUUUCAUAUAUGACGAUGGCGCGUCUUGAACUUGCUUAGUGAUUGUGAUCGUCCUUAAGUGGUCUACAGACAUUGAUGUAUUUUUUGUUAUUUUUUUCUUUAUACUACCAUGGCCUGAUGAAUAUAGCGACAGUUUGCUCGAAAAAAAAUAC